AUGGAUAGAGUAGAUGUUGACAAUAGCGUGAUCAACCUGGAAUGCCAGGGCAUGCUUGAGCUUACAGACGAGUCAGUUCACUCUGUUUUUGCAAUACCACGCGGUGAGCUAGCAAUUGGUCCAGAAGGUGUCGAACCGUCUGAAGCUUGCAUUGAGUAUACACGUUUCGCAGCUAGCAUGAAUGACAAAGGCACACACAGCUUGAAGGCAGCAGAGGCAUACCUGAUGCGGGACAUCGCCGCCAACUCUAGAAAAAUUGACAUGGAUUGUUUCAAAAUUGCAUUCGUCAUCUUCGUAAUUGGCCAUGUGUUUGUGCUUGACAGCCUCGAGCUUGGCCAACUGAACAAACCACGCGGAAUGUACCCAAGGAUAGCGCUUUUUGAGCACGAGUCGAUGAAGAAGAUGAUUAAUAUCACAUCAGUAAACAUGGGUGGAGGAGAAAUAUCAUUUCACGGGGCAUCGGUCAAGGCUGAACAAAACGUCAGCAAAGGUAUUGUCUGCGCAUCAACCGAGCUUGCAAAUGAAAACAUUCCGAGGCAUUCUAAUACGACCAAACGAGUCCAGAUGCCAUCUGCGCCUAUUUUAAGAGCUACUUACAAUAAAAUUGGUCCACAAGAUUUCUCAAACCACAUACGUACAAACUAUCCAUCAAUAUCCGGUGAGAAGCUCGGGAUACUUCUCCGUGAGCACAAUGCUCGAGGUCUGGCAAACAUUUCAGAGAUGAGGCAGUCUUUCCAGUCAUCAAUGUUCACAUUUGCGGACAAGCUCAUCAACUGCAUCGCUGAGAAUUGUUCUUGUUGCAAGGCCAACGGACGUAAACAAUGCAUCCUGAAGAGUGAAAAUCAAAACAGUUGCACCAACUUGGCCAACACUCCUAUGCAAGAAAAAAAUAGACAAUUCGUUUGUUACCCCUGUUUGCAACAAGGUUUCUCCCAGGCUGGCUGGACAACUCCCAAACGACGGUAG
Molecule: ribosomal RNA, 966 nt
Filed under: Triticum aestivum (bread wheat)
Lineage: Eukaryota; Viridiplantae; Streptophyta; Magnoliopsida; Poales; Poaceae
Description: partial small subunit ribosomal RNA
Source: RNAcentral